Molecule: ribosomal RNA, 616 nt
Filed under: uncultured Verrucomicrobiota bacterium
Lineage: Bacteria; Pseudomonadati; Verrucomicrobiota
Description: bacterial SSU rRNA
Rfam family: Bacterial small subunit ribosomal RNA
Source: RNAcentral
UGGUAGCAAUACUGAGCGAAGCUAGUGGCGAACGGGUGCGUAACACAUGAGUCAUCUGCCCAAAAGUGGGGAAUAGCUCGGCGAAAGCCGGAUUAAUACCGCAUGUGGUCAGGCCUUUGGCCAGACCAAAGCCGGGGCAACCUGGCGCUUUUGGAGGAGCUCGUGGCCUAUCAGCUAGUUGGUGAGGUAACGGCUUACCAAGGCAGCGACGGGUAGCUGGUCUGAGAGGACGACCAGCCACAGUGGAACUGAGAUACGGUCCAGACACCUACGGGUGGCAGCAGUCGAGAAUUUUUCUCAAUGGGGGAAACCCUGAAGGAGCGACGCCGCGUGGAGGAUGAAUGCUUUCGGGUUGUAAACUCCUGUCAUUUGGGAACAAGGCUUUACGUUAACUGCGUGGAGGAUUGAUAGUACCAGAAGAGGAAGAGACGGCUAACUCUGUGCCAGCAGCCGCGGUAAUACAGAGGUCUCGAGCGUUGUUCGGAUUCAUUGGGCGUAAAGGGCGCGUAGGCGGCGGGGUAAGUCUGGUGUGAAAUCUAGGAGCUCAACUCCUAAACUGCACUGGAUACUGCUUUGCUAGAGGACUGGAGAGGAGACUGGAAUUCUCGGUGUAGCA